GACCAUGGGAUGCUGCACGGGCCGCUGCACCCUGAUCUCGCUGUGCGCUUUGCAGCUGCUUGCUGCACUGGAGAGGCAAGUGUUCGACUUCCUGGGAUACCAGUGGGCCCCGAUUCUGGCCAACUUCCUCCACAUCAUCAUCGUCAUCCUYGGCCUCUUCGGCACCAUUCAGUACAGACCCCGCUACAUAGUGGUGUAUGCCAUCUGGACUGCAAUUUGGGUCACCUGGAACAUCUUCAUCAUCUGCUUUUACUUAGAAGUGGGAGGGCUCUCAAAGGACAGUGAACUGCUGACAUUUAACAUCUCCCGGCACCAGUCGUGGUGGAGUGAGAAUGGSCCUGGCUGCGUGAGGAAGGAGGCUUCCAUGUCCGGCAUCAAGGGCCUGGACACCCAUUCCUACGUGUCGGUCAUAGGCUGUGCCCUGGAGUCCCGCUACAUCGAGGUCCUGCACAGCUCCUUCCAGAUCCUCCUCGCGCUGGUGGGCUUUGUCUACGCCUGUUAUGUUGUUAGUGUUUUUACAGAAGAAGAAGACAGCUUUGAUUUCAUUGGUGGAUUUGAUCCAUUUCCUCUCUACCAUGUCAAUGAAAAACCCACCAACUUUUUGUUCAAGCAGACAUACCUGUAGACUUUUUUCCUAAAAAAAAAACAUUUACUGAACAUCAACAUGAAUUUUCAUACUCUUUUGAUCAACCUGAAGCUGCAUGUUUAAGAGGCCUGCGUAAGUAGAGGAUGCUGGAGGAUGGCGCGAGCUCACGCUCCGCUCCCAAAGGUGCCACAAGAAGCUGUUCCUGCCGCCCGGAUCUGCAGCAGAGGAAAUGCAGAGCGCUGAACCCCGUUCCACUUCUUGCUUCUCCUUUUCAACUGCAAUGAAUGUACAUCGAGGAACAGCCACGGGGUUUGUCCUUAAGCCUCGGAGUGCCCUGAUGAGCCACUGCGACCAGAGUCCGGUCAUUGCGGCCAACAAAUGGCACGGAGGCCCCUGGRAGCCUCUCGAGGGACAUGAUUCAAGCAGGAGCCGCUUCCUCCCACCACAGAGCCGCAGAGAAGGAAGUGCUGAGAAUGGCCCUGGGACAKCGCAGAAGUUCUGUAGUUAGUUUCUUCCCACCUCCUUUCCCCUUGUUCUGAAAUGGGCCUAAAUCCCCUAACACAUCAUCUCCUCCCCACCUGCAUAGAACCAGGUGGGGGCUAUUUACAGGUCAGUUUUCUAGCUGCCCUCCCUCCGCUUUUUUGGUAUAAAGUUACAGCCUUUUUUUUUAUUAUUAUUAUUAUUAUUUCUCUCUCAUCCAAGACCCCCCUCCUCAUUUUCUAAUCCUUAUGCGUGGUGGACUCUGCAGCAACAGGAGCUUGUCCUGGAUUUCAAUGGUCUGUGACUGACCUUCUGCAACACUGACCUGCUAAAGGCUGGGAGAAGCUCCAAGUCUUCCCUCACCACGGAGCUCAGCCCCACUCCUCCACGCCAAGCAGCUCUAACUCCCUCUGGGUUCACUCACCUACAUUCACUAAAUGCUGGUGUAGCCACACGCACAACUGAUACCUGCUGCAGGACACUGGAAAAACACCUAGUUUUUAAUGUAACAGACUUUUUGUGCCUGCUUUCCCCAUCAGGCAGCUACAUUCACUCCACACACCCCCUGACAACACCCUCCUAG
Molecule: RNA transcript, 1649 nt
Organism: Nothoprocta perdicaria
Lineage: Eukaryota; Metazoa; Chordata; Aves; Tinamiformes; Tinamidae
Gene: NKAIN4
Gene name: sodium/potassium transporting ATPase interacting 4
Exons: 8
Source: RefSeq, a predicted model, not a curated record